CUUCAGUGAUGAUCUCGCUUUAGUGCCAUUGUGUCUGGGCCACUGAUAACUAGUGAUGGAUCUGAGGAUCUGAGAAG
This is a small nucleolar RNA of Erpetoichthys calabaricus (reedfish), 77 nucleotides long. Lineage: Eukaryota; Metazoa; Chordata; Cladistia; Polypteriformes; Polypteridae. The record is from Ensembl.